Molecule: ribosomal RNA, 234 nt
Filed under: uncultured bacterium
Lineage: Bacteria
Description: partial 16S ribosomal RNA
Rfam family: Archaeal small subunit ribosomal RNA
Source: RNAcentral
ACACCGGCGGCCCGAGUGGUGAUCGUGAUUAUUGGGUCUAAAGGGUCCGUAGCCGGUUUGGUCAGUCCUCCGGGAAAUCUGGCAGCUCAACUGUUAGACUUUCGGGGGAUACUGCCAGACUUGGAACCGGGAGAGGUAAGAGGUACUACAGGGGUAGGAGUGAAAUCCUAUAAUCCUGGGAGGACCACCUGUGGCGAAGGCGCCUAACUGGAACGGACCUGACGGUGAGUAACG